UACGAAGGGGGCUAGCGUUGCUCGGAAUCACUGGGCGUAAAGCGCACGUAGGCGGCUUUUUAAGUCAGGGGUGAAAUCCUGGAGCUUAACUCCAGAACUGCCUUUGAUACUGAAGAGCUAGAGUCCGGAAGAGGUGAGUGGAACUGCGAGUGUAGAGGUGAAAUUCGUAGAUAUUCGGAAGAACACCAGUGGCGAAGGCGACUUACUGGACACAUAUUGACGCUGAGGUGCGAAAGCGUGGGGAGCAAACAGG
RNAcentral lists this ribosomal RNA (253 nucleotides) under uncultured bacterium. Its description in RNAcentral is "partial 16S ribosomal RNA". It matches the Rfam family "Bacterial small subunit ribosomal RNA", at positions 524 to 776 of the family's 1533-position model. The record is from RNAcentral.